GGUCUGAGAGGAUGAUCAGCCACACUGGGACUGAGACACGGCCCAGACUCCUACGGGAGGCAGCAGUGGGGAAUAUUGGACAAUGGGCGAAAGCCUGAUCCAGCAAUGCCGCGUGAGUGAUGAAGGCCUUAGGGUUGUAAAGCUCUUUUACCCGGGAAGAUAAUGACUGUACCGGGAGAAUAAGCCCCGGCUAACUCCGUGCCAGCAGCCGCGGUAAUACGGAGGGGGCUAGCGUUGUUCGGAAUUACUGGGCGUAAAGCGCACGUAGGCGGCUUUGUAAGUCAGAGGUGAAAGCCUGGAGCUCAACUCCAGAACUGCCUUUGAGACUGCAUCGCUUGAAUCCAGGAGAGGUGA
Molecule: ribosomal RNA, 354 nt
Filed under: bacterium LimB-10-A-303
Lineage: Bacteria
Also listed under: 2 other names
Description: bacterial SSU rRNA
Rfam family: Bacterial small subunit ribosomal RNA
Source: RNAcentral